UUUGCAGUUGAAUCUAUAUUAUAGUUUGGAGAAAAAGAGGAAGAAGAAAAAAAAAGGAACAGGCCACGCGCGCACGCGUACCGAGGAAACAACAAAAGGCCCCACAGAAGGAAAGCUGCGGCGAAAGAAAAGAAGAAAAAUGUCCACUGUAGCAAAUUAUCAAGAUCUACUCGCCACGCUGUCGCGAAAAAGCACCGUUCUCGAUCAAGCAAGAGCGCCCUUCACACUCGACGAAACCCUCCCGUCGGUCUUGAGACAAUCACAGCUCGGAUCCUUCCAAUUCUACUUUUCAAUGCUUUGCCGUCGUCGAUGAUCCAACGCCAAGCAACAUCCACCGACAACCUUCCUACGCGGCAACGAGCACAAAAAAAGACAAAAAAAAAAAAGAAAGAAAGGAAGAAAAACAAACAAGUCAUUCUCUUUCGUGGGCAUUGCUCGAACAUUAUACUUGCCUCGAUGCAUACCAUGCAACAAAACAACGUCACCGACGUAAAACAGUUCAGUAUCAGCAGUGAUUUUUAUACGCCAACAUAUGUCAACUCGUGCACAUUUGUCGCGCGUUACACGAGGGAAACCCGAGAGGGUGAUUGGUUCAAUUUUGUCAAUCGUGUACGUGCAAGAAGAAACGGUGUUUUAUACAUUUGUCCCCACGUUAAAAAUUGAAGGUGCACGGCCGACGUCGUGCACGCAGAGAGAUGUUUACAAUAGUGAAAAAGAAAAAGAAGGGGGGCUGGAGGACGUAGGACAACGCGCCUGUGUCCUUCACCCCUGUCGUUUUGCCAACAACAACAACAACAGCAACUCAUCGAGGUCACAGCACUUACUUGCUACUUCUUUACCGAUAAUAAUAAUAGUAAUAAUAGUGAUAUAAAUGAAUAGCGAUAAGAGAUAUAGAUAGAGUUUAUAUACCGGAAACACAACCUCGAAAGGGUAAUUGACGUUUGCGCGUUACCGUUAUACGAGACCUAGAAGAGUGAAGAGAGAGAGAGAGAGAGAGAGAGUGUAGUAGAUUAUUUUGGGCUUUAAUAUUAGUGUUUCGAGAGUUAGGCGUGUGACAGUUGAAAGUUUAGUAGUGAUUCGUGUGAAUUCGACCGCCGGUAGAAGUAAUGGAAAGAAGAGACGUUGAGGAGGGAAAAAGAGAGAGAGAGAGAUUCGUGGACGAGCUCGUUUGGCGGGCAAGGUUCGUUUCCGGUCGAUCGACUGGUAUCGAUCAACCGCAACGAUUCACCAAUUUUUACCUCCCCCCGACUUUUCUUACGAAGCUUUUCUCUCUCGUUGGAAACGGGAUGUGAACACGAAUCGAGAUCGAGAUCGAGAUGACAAUGGGGAACGUGUAGGUAUUUUUCAGGGCUGCUGAAAAAUCGUGUAACCGUUUCGGGUCGAGAACGAUCCCGGACCGAGUACGCGGCGGUAAACGAAGGCCUUAUCUUAUACAGUUUGGGCAUUGUUGUUAAUGCGUGACAGGUUCGUCAGGUGAUAUCCGUAUAAGCAGAUAAUAUAUAACUGGUAAGCGUUUUCCUUUUUCUUUUUUUUUUUUUUUAAAGCGUGUGGUGAAUACGCGCGUGAAUCCGUGACUCGAGAAGAGGAACGAAAAAAGAAAAAAAAGUUGGUGAGAAAGAAGCUAGAGUGACUGCGCGCGCGAGAGAGAGAGAGAGAGAGAGAGAGAAAGAGAGGAUUGCUUGAUUCGUUAAUUAGAUAAACGGGAGAGGCAUAAUCUUUUAAUUGGUAGAAGGGUGAUCUUUAUAUACUAAAUAGAAUGAGUGUGAAAGAAGAGUGGGAGGGACAGGUUUAAGAGCGGAGACGCGUUGUUUUUUUUUUUCCCGUUUUUCUCGAAGGAGUCUUAAUAUAUUGUCUAUAAUUAAUCCUAUUGUUGCCAAUAAUGGGCAUUACGAAGAGAGGAGACCGCGCGAAUUGUAUAACUUAUUCUCGACACUGCAUUUACACUUACACCCACCCUCCAAUCCCCCCCCCCGAACUCCCCCCCCCCCCGAAAAGACCUUGAAUGCAUAUAUAGUAAAACACGCAUUAUACAUUAUACACUUGUUGUACAUAGAUAUAUAUAUAUUAUAUUAUAUAUAUAUAUAUAUGUAAAGCUUAAACUUAUUAACGAAAAAAAAAAAAAAAAAGAAUUUAGUCGAUGUGUACCGGAAUAGACACGAGAAAGAGAGAAAAUACGAUUUACUUAUACGAUUUAUAUACGAGAGAGAGAGAGAGAGAGAGAGAGAGAGAAAGCGCAUCAGAGCGUCCCGAGAACAGCUGCGGAAGAAAAGACACACGAAUCCACGAAGUAAACUGAAAUCCGAAACCAGAGCUGUGGAUAAAGGAAAAGGACGAAGAAUGGGCAUCAAAACUGAUUCGUGGCUCUUGACUCGUGACUCGUCUCGGGCUCGGUGGACGAUGAUUUGUUAUUAUACCGAAAUCUGUUAGUUUUUUGUCCUACAUAUUAGCGUUGAAAUAGAAUGGAAAUAGUAGAAA
This is a long non-coding RNA of Frieseomelitta varia, 2475 nucleotides long. RefSeq lists it as uncharacterized. The record is from RefSeq and is a predicted model, not a curated record. Lineage: Eukaryota; Metazoa; Arthropoda; Insecta; Hymenoptera; Apidae. The transcript has 3 exons.